CGUGCGUUCACUCCCGCGGGGCGGGGGACGCGGCCGGACCCCUCCCAGCCCCAGCGCCGGGGCUCGGCCGGCUGCCGCCGCCGGGAGCGGUUGCCUGUUGCCUUUACAGACGUGGAAAUCCCUGCCGUUGCCAUAGUACCGGGCACUUGUUGCGAGGGGCUGGGGGAGCUGCCGCCUUCUCGCUGAUGCAUACCGACCCCCGUCCCCAACCCCGUGUCGAUUUCAGGUACUCAGACUCCACCUUUACCUUCACCUACAUUGGAGGCUCCAAAAGGUACCUUAUUUUUAGUCGUUACAUCCUUGUUCCCGGCUCGCAGCAUUGUUUCAGCCCCUUUUACUGCCUUGCCUUGUGCAAGGAGGAUCAAUCAGUAAAUCAUCCGCGUUCGCACAAACGUACACUGAGGAGGAGGUGUAGAGGGAGGUGACCAGAACGGUGAUCCUCGCCUGAGCGCUGCUCAGAGGCGCUUUGCUGCUUCUGUGUGUUCAUAUGUGUGUAUAGGCUAAUUUCUGCCAUAUGUAAGAUUAGGUUAAUUUCUGCCAUAUGUAGGAUUAACUGCAGGGUGUCAGCAUAUUGGAUACAGAGUUAAUUCAUCCUAAAAAAAAAAAAGA
Molecule: non-coding RNA, 609 nt
Organism: Meleagris gallopavo (turkey)
Lineage: Eukaryota; Metazoa; Chordata; Aves; Galliformes; Phasianidae
Source: RefSeq, a predicted model, not a curated record